CCCUUAGAUGUUCUGGGCCGCACGCGUGCUACGGCGCAACAAGUUUCUUUCCUUGGCUCGAUAGGCCUGGGUAAUCUUUGAACGCCGGUCGUGAUGGGGAUAGAUCCUUGCAAUUUUUGAUCUUCAACGAGGAAUUCCUAGUAAAUGCGAGUCAUCAUCUCGCGUUGAUUACGUCCCUGCCCUUUGUACACACCGCCCGUCGCACCUACCGAUUGAAUGGUCCGGUGAAGCCUCGGGAUUGCGAAUGCUUCGUGCGGACGCGAGAACUUGGCUAAACCUUACCAUUUAGAGGAAGGUGAAGUCGUAACA
This 309-nucleotide ribosomal RNA is filed under the name uncultured eukaryote. RNAcentral describes it as "partial 18S ribosomal RNA". It matches the Rfam family "Eukaryotic small subunit ribosomal RNA", at positions 1470 to 1796 of the family's 1831-position model. The record is from RNAcentral.